Molecule: non-coding RNA, 29 nt
Filed under: Mus musculus (house mouse)
Lineage: Eukaryota; Metazoa; Chordata; Mammalia; Rodentia; Muridae
Source: RNAcentral
UGAAAGGUCAACCUCGGGCUGCUGAAAAC